Non-coding RNA from Mycena floridula, 73 nucleotides. NCBI's taxonomy places the organism in Eukaryota, Fungi, Basidiomycota, Agaricomycetes, Agaricales, Mycenaceae. The record is from the annotation of a GenBank genome assembly.
GAGAUGAUGACACAAUGGUAGUGUGUCCGACUGAUUAAUACGGAUCGCCCUGGUUCAAUUCCUGGUCAUCGCC